AGCAGCCGCGGUAAUUCCAGCUCCAACAGCGUAUAUUAAAGUUGUUGCAGUUAAAAAGCUCGUAGUUGAAUUUCGAGACCGGCUUACUGGUCGUGCUAUUGUACGUACUGGUAUAAUCGGUUUCUCCUUUCUGACGAACUAUAAUGCCAUUAAUUUGGUGUUAUAGGGAAUCAGGACUGUUACUUUGAAAAAAUUAGAGUGUUUAAAGCAGGCUCACGCUUGAAUACAUUAGCAUGGAAUAACGGAAUAGGACGUUUGAUUCUAUUUUGUUGGUUUCUAGGAUCGACGUAAUGAUUAAUAGGGAUAGUUGGGGGCAUUAGUAUUCAAUUGUCAGAGGUGAAAUUCUUGGAUUUAUUGAAGACUAACUACUGCGAAAGCAUUUGCCAAGGAUGUUUUCAUUAAUCAAGAACGAAAGUUAGGGGAUCGAAGACGAUCAGAUACCGUCGUAGUCUUAACCAUAAACUAUGCCGACUAGGGAUCGGAUGAUGUUAAUUUUUAAUGACUCAUUCGGCGCCUUACG
RNAcentral lists this ribosomal RNA (520 nucleotides) under uncultured Glomus. Its description in RNAcentral is "SSU rRNA". It matches the Rfam family "Eukaryotic small subunit ribosomal RNA", at positions 569 to 1092 of the family's 1831-position model. Lineage: Eukaryota; Fungi; Glomeromycota; Glomeromycetes; Glomerales; Glomeraceae. The record is from RNAcentral.